Molecule: long non-coding RNA, 1146 nt
Organism: Armigeres subalbatus
Lineage: Eukaryota; Metazoa; Arthropoda; Insecta; Diptera; Culicidae
Exons: 3
Source: RefSeq, a predicted model, not a curated record
CUGUAUUUUGUAUUUUACAUUAUAAUUAGAAACUAAUAUUCUAGUUAACGUAUUCGCACAAUGAGGCAAGCACUUUUGAAGAUAAAAUUAAAAUGAUUUCUAAAACUUUGUUGUAUUGAUAGAACAACAAAUGAAAACAAUUGAAUAACAAUACACUUUGUUGUCAAAAAAUAAAUAAAUCGAAAUUGUAAUUUACGAAAUGUUCCGAAUUUCAAGUAAUAAUUCAAAAAUCAAAAACGACAUUAUUUCAUACAAAUUUACUUGAAAAAGGCAAUUUGUAAAAUCUUUUUUAUUAUUUGCUUUUUUUGUGUGAUUUACUUUGAGAGUGUAUGUCCUCAGCACUUUGACAGUUUACUCCAGAUGUUUAUGUUUUCUUUAAAGAUCUCAACCUCGAUCUCAACUAUAAACAAAAUGUGUUGCGUUUAGACAUAAUUCCAUCUUUUUAUCCCUUCUGAAGAAGUACAUUGUGAUAUUUAAUUGGUAAUUGUGAUAUGAAAAUGAAAACAGUUUGCAAUAAGGGUUGGGUUGCGGAGCAAAAAACAAAGUGCCAUUUUCUUUUAGCUUCUCAUCUGGAGCUCGUCUGGGGCGGUGCUGUUUUCGAUUUAGCCGGACCGGAAUGCAAGGUAGGAGAUGAUUAGGAAAAACACAGCCUUUUAAUCUCUAAACCAUUAUGGAAGUCAUCAAGAAUAUGAUAUUCAGCCAAGGCUACUCCCAUCGUUAUUUAAAAAUUAGGAUCAAAAACAAGAUCAAGGGAAAACUUUAUCAUAAGAGGUGCACCAGAGCCAUCAUGGAAAGUGUAAUGUGAAUGUCCGCAAUAAUCCAGCACAGUAAUUAGGAAUGUAUCGUUCCACGACCUCGCAGGAGGAAAUCACCCAUUUCGAAUGCAUCCUUCAUCAAUAGUUUCCGUGGAAUCCAACUAAUUGUGAUAUAGUUUUAAUUUAACAUAUAUAAUUGAUGUUGUGUCUCCAGAUAAUGUGUUAAUCGAACGAAGACCAUAAAUUGAAAUGUAAAUUUUUUUAUUUAAAUAUUUAAGUUUUAUUGAAUGUUAAAAUCAAAUUUAGUUUAAGUUAAAAUAACAUUAAGUUGAUAUUAUGUAGUACUAUCCUGUACUAUCCCAUUAAUUCCACCACUGCAUUUUAACUUAAA